CGAACGCUGGCGGCGUGCUUAACACAUGCAAGUCGAACGCGAAAGGGACUUGGUCCUGAGUAAAGUGGCGCACGGGUGAGUAACGCGUAGAUAACCUGUCUUCAUGUCUGGAAUAAUACGCCAAAGGGGUACUAAUACCGGAUAUCUUGCUUUUCAUAAGUUAUGCAAGCAAAGGUGGCCUCUGCAUAUGCUACUGCAUGAAGAGGGGUCUGCGUACCAUUAGCUAGUAGGUGGGGUAAUGGCCUACCUAGGCGACGAUGGUUAGCGGGUCUGAGAGGAUGAUCCGCCACACUGGCACUGGAACACGGGCCAGACUCCUACGGGAGGCAGCAGUGAGGAAUAUUGCGCAAUGGGGGAAACCCUGACGCAGCGACGCCGCGUGAGUGAGGAAAAGGCCUUCGGGUCGUAAAGCUCUGUCAAGAGGAAAGAAGUGUACAAUGGCUAAUACCUGUUGUAUUUGACGGUACCUCUAAAGGAAGCACCGGCUAACUCCGUGCCAGCAGCAGC
This 507-nucleotide ribosomal RNA is filed under the name uncultured bacterium. RNAcentral describes it as "bacterial SSU rRNA". It matches the Rfam family "Bacterial small subunit ribosomal RNA", at positions 30 to 518 of the family's 1533-position model. The record is from RNAcentral.